GACGAACGCUGGCGGCGUGCUUAACACAUGCCAGUCGAACGGAAAGGCCCUGCUUUUGUGGGGUGCUCGAGUGGCGAACGGGUGAGUAACACGUGAGUAACCUGCCCUUGACUUUGGGAUAACUUCAGGAAACUGGGGCUAAUACCGGAUAGGAGCUCCUGCUGCAUGGUGGGGGUUGGAAAGUUUCGGCGGUUGGGGAUGGACUCGCGGCUUAUCAGCUUGUUGGUGGGGUAGUGGCUCACCAAGGCUUUGACGGGUAGCCGGCCUGAGAGGGUGACCGGCCACAUUGGGACUGAGAUACGGCCCAGACUCCUACGGGAGGCAGCAGUGGGGAAUAUUGCACAAUGGGCGGAAGCCUGAUGCAGCAACGCCGCGUGCGGGAUGACGGCCUUCGGGUUGUAAACCGCUUUCGCCUGUGACGAAGCGUGAGUGACGGUAAUGGGUAAAGAAGCACCGGCUAACUACGUG
This 468-nucleotide ribosomal RNA is filed under the name uncultured bacterium. RNAcentral describes it as "partial 16S ribosomal RNA". It matches the Rfam family "Bacterial small subunit ribosomal RNA", at positions 28 to 507 of the family's 1533-position model. The record is from RNAcentral.